GUGAAGCAGCCCCGCGAGGGUGAGCAAACCACAGAAACGGCGUCCCAGUUCGGAUUGCAGCCUGCAACUCGGCUGCAUGAAGCUGGAAUCGCUAGUAAUCGCGGAUCAGAAUGCCGCGGUGAAUACGUUCCCGGGUCUUGUACACACCGCCCGUCACACCAUGGGAGUCGGGAAUGCCCGAAGUCAGUGACCCAACCGAAAGGGGGGAGCUGCCGAAGGCAGGCCUGGUAACUGGGGUGAAGUCGUAACAAGGUAAC
RNAcentral lists this ribosomal RNA (257 nucleotides) under uncultured bacterium. RNAcentral describes it as "partial 16S ribosomal RNA". It matches the Rfam family "Bacterial small subunit ribosomal RNA", at positions 1244 to 1500 of the family's 1533-position model. The record is from RNAcentral.